This is a long non-coding RNA of Dama dama (fallow deer), 2234 nucleotides long. RefSeq lists it as uncharacterized. The record is from RefSeq and is a predicted model, not a curated record. Lineage: Eukaryota; Metazoa; Chordata; Mammalia; Artiodactyla; Cervidae. The transcript is spliced from 4 exons.
AGCUGGUCCCACCGAGAACAUCCGGAGUUGCCCAGAGCUGUUUUCCUUGUGGCUUCUUCGGGAGCAGGCACGCUGCCUUCAGUGUUUACAGUCAGCAAUUUCAAAUGUGCUGACACGGAGAACAGCGACCACAGAGUCCGCACAGACCAGCAAGGAAGAGAAACCCCAGGCGGAAGGGCUCGGCGGGACGUGAGGCGUCGCUCCUCCCGAGGGUGGCCGAGGUCCGCCCCGGAGGCCCCCGGCUCAUAGAUGCCGGAUGCGCGGUGGGGAGAGAAGGCGCUCACCUCAUUCUGCUUUUUUCUUCCAUCACGGCUUCAUCCCAAGGCCAAGGGUCAAAAACCCCACUCACUGUAAUUACAAGAAAACCAUGUACAUCUGGGGCUGAAAAGCAUAGCCAGAAAGAAUGGCCAGCUGUCCACCAAAGCUGGAAGCAGCAGGUUCUAAAUCCCAUGGACAAACUUCAAGAUGGAAGGACCUGGCUGCUUGUCCACUGAAUUCCCACACUGGACUAUUGCACAAGAGAGAAAUGAACUUUUUGUUAUUGUGGUGACAGGAGGCUGAAAUGAGAGAAGAGUUGUCCGUUCUGCUGGAUCGGGUUACUGCUAACUGUGCAUCACACAAGUCAUUCGUAGUGCUUGGUAAAAAGAAGGAUUCCUGGGCCUCUUUCCUGAAAAUUCUGUCAGUAGUUCUAAGGAGCAACCUGGGAUCCAUGUUGUUAACACAUGUCAUGGACUCCCGUGCCUGGCCACACCUGGGAGACCCCACCCUCAUCUGUCCAGAUGUCCUACCUGCGAUCUUGUAUAAGUUGCUUCACUUUCACAUUUUAUCUCCCUGGAAUACAGAGGAUAAAAUUUAUGAUCUAUGAAACAAAUGUCUGCUGAGAUGAAGGUGAUGCCCAUGAAAACAGCCAAACUCCUUACAUCAUGAGAUUUACAUACAAACCCCAAUGAUGAUGAUAAUUAAUUACUGUUAGCAUCUGUGCUCUGGAUUGCUAUUUUAUGUUUUAAAAUUCACUUUAUCAAAAAACAAAUCCACUUCAUUUUAAGAGGGGAGGGUGUGGGUAAAAAACAAGUUCUAUGUUUCCGUGGAAAGCUUUUCUAAGAAUUUCUGCUGCGCUGAUGGGUGUUUAGCAGGGAGCUCACACUGAGCUGACCGUCCACCCAUGACAAGUACGGCUGCUUCCAGAAUGCAGAGAGCAGGGCAGGAGCCACAGGGAAGCUCCACAGGUGAGACCAGUAGCUAGAGGUGAGGGCAAUUUAACACAAGGGUAUUCAGGCAGCAACUGGUUCUGUGGCAGAUUACCAUAUGGAACAGGGAUGGAUGCAAGAGAUUCACUUUGCAUGAGAACUAUCUUCUGCAGUCCAGCUGGCUCUGCACCACUUUAUUUUCUGUUCAGCUCACAGGUCCCAUCCUUCUCUCUGAAUAUUCUAAAAUCUUUCACACCAAAAUGCCAACUACAGCCAAGCCCUCUAUGUAACUCAAAAGUCAAACUGCUUCUUGUCCCUGAUUGCAAUUUUCUUCUAUAUCCAUUAUCCAAACACAGAGAGCAUUUCCCUCUAUAUCCAUAAUCAAACAAAGAGGGCAAACCACGUAGAGGCUUAUUUCCUGGGAAAUAAUCCGAGUAGUUAAGAAAACUUGUUUGAAUGACAUCGCGAGUUUUCUAAAAUAUCUUAGAAGUAAAUCUUGAUAUUUUCUAAGGAAUAAUUUGAAGAAUUCUUUUAAUCUGAAAGUUUCUCUAUGAAAUAGAGGGCAGUGGAGGGAGAUCAAUACAUUUAGAUCACAAGUUUUCUGCUUACUUUCUGGAGAACAUUCUAAUUUUUAAAAUAUCAGGUCCCAAAAGGGAAAGCAUAUUCACCAAAAAGAGAGAUGAAAAUGUAAAGGGAUGGAUGUUAAUUAGAUGGGUGGAAUCCUUUCACUAUGUAUGUGCUGUGCUUAGCUCAGUCGUGUCUGACUCUUUGCGACCCCAUGGACUAGCCCACCAGGUUCCUCUGUCCACGGGGAUUCUCCAGGCAAGAAUACUGGAGUGGGUUGCCAUGCCCUCCUCCCGGGGAUCUUCCCAAUCCAGGGAUCAAACUGGGGUUUCCCACAUUGCAGGCAGAUUCUUUACCAGCUGAGCUACCAGAGAAGCCCUUCACAAUGUGUGUGUGUGUGUGUAUAUAUAUAUAUAUAUAUAUCAUAUCACCAUGAUGUACACUUUAAAUACCUUAUAAUUUUAUUUGUCAAUUGUACCUCAA